RNAcentral lists this ribosomal RNA (604 nucleotides) under Enterobacter asburiae. RNAcentral's name for it is "bacterial SSU rRNA". It matches the Rfam family "Bacterial small subunit ribosomal RNA", at positions 1 to 594 of the family's 1533-position model. Lineage: Bacteria; Pseudomonadati; Pseudomonadota; Gammaproteobacteria; Enterobacterales; Enterobacteriaceae. The record is from RNAcentral. RNAcentral also lists the same sequence under 1 other name.
AAAUUGAAGAGUUUGAUCAUGGCUCAGAUUGAACGCUGGCGGCAGGCCUAACACAUGCAAGUCGAGCGGCAGCGGAAAGUAGCUUGCUACUUUGCCGGCGAGCGGCGGACGGGUGAGUAAUGUCUGGGAAACUGCCUGAUGGAGGGGGAUAACUACUGGAAACGGUAGCUAAUACCGCAUAACGUCGCAAGACCAAAGAGGGGGACCUUCGGGCCUCUUGCCAUCAGAUGUGCCCAGAUGGGAUUAGCUAGUAGGUGGGGUAACGGCUCACCUAGGCGACGAUCCCUAGCUGGUCUGAGAGGAUGACCAGCCACACUGGAACUGAGACACGGUCCAGACUCCUACGGGAGGCAGCAGUGGGGAAUAUUGCACAAUGGGCGCAAGCCUGAUGCAGCCAUGCCGCGUGUAUGAAGAAGGCCUUCGGGUUGUAAAGUACUUUCAGCGGGGAGGAAGGCGUUGAGGUUAAUAACCUCAGCGAUUGACGUUACCCGCAGAAGAAGCACCGGCUAACUCCGUGCCAGCAGCCGCGGUAAUACGGAGGGUGCAAGCGUUAAUCGGAAUUACUGGGCGUAAAGCGCACGCAGGCGGUCUGUCAAGUCGGAUG